This 367-nucleotide ribosomal RNA is filed under the name uncultured organism. RNAcentral's name for it is "bacterial LSU rRNA". It matches the Rfam family "Bacterial large subunit ribosomal RNA", at positions 2099 to 2465 of the family's 2925-position model. The record is from RNAcentral.
CUUUACUGUAACCUGGAAUUGGGUUCAGGCUUUGCUUGCGCAGGAUAGGUGGGAGACUAUGAAGCUGCCCUUGUGGGGGCAGUGGAGUCAUCAGUGAGAUACCACUCUGUCAAGGCUAGAAUUCUAACCGUCUGCCGUUAUCCGGCGACGGAACAGUAUCAGGUGGGCAGUUUGACUGGGGCGGUCGCCUCCUAAAUGGUAACGGAGGCGCGCAAAGGUUCCCUCAGGCUGGUUGGAAAUCAGCCGAAGAGUGUAAAGGCAGAAGGGAGCUUGACUGCAAGAGCAACAACUCAAGCAGGGACGAAAGUCAGCCUUAGUGAUCCGACGGCGCUGAGUGGAAGGGCCGUCGCUCAACGGAUAAAAGUUA